This is a non-coding RNA of Pelobates cultripes (western spadefoot toad), 4402 nucleotides long. The record is from the annotation of a GenBank genome assembly. Lineage: Eukaryota; Metazoa; Chordata; Amphibia; Anura; Pelobatidae.
UUGAGGGUGAAGAACUACUGAGGUUUAAUGACACACACUCUGCUUUUAUGCAAUUCUCCUGUGCAAGGGAGACGUACACAGACAAUUAUGAAUUACCCAAUCACACACUGGUUACGUCCCACACAUCUCCUUCUCUUAGCCUGAGACGUAACCCAAUUAGCCAUACAGUUUAAAACAUACUUUUAACCCAACUUUCAUAACUCUAAAACUAUACAUCCAAUAUUAAUAAAAGUCACAUAUUAAUCAGCAUAUUUCAAAUACAAACAUACCCAAAAAUCAUUUUAAUCCGUUCAGGAGAUAGAUAUAAGUCACCUUUGACCGCAAGCACAUUUUCAUGCCCAAAACAAGAGAAUCAGGCUAUGCGGCCGGUCUAUUUCCCAUGUUAAAGUCAGUUCAAACAGACGAACAACAACCAUUCGAAUUGUCGAAUGAACUGUCGAAUGCAUUUGUUCCAGAGAAGGUAAAAUUUCAGCGGUGUUCGUGCCGUUUUGUAGCCGAUUUUAGUUCCAUGAGAUUGACGGCACACACCGCUGACUGCAUUCGAAUGAAUCAAAAUGGCCGCCGCCACGUGUUCGGUUUUCUAAUAGCGGCCACUUCGACUGUAUCUGAAGUGCCAUGCCAAAACUGCAGGUCCGUUCCCAAAGUAUUUAAAAGGGCCAGAGACAGCACAAUAAAAUACCCAAAUACUUAUAUAUAUUUAAAGGGCCUCAUCUUCCAGGGACCAUAAUCACAUGGCAAGAGGCUGGCAAGUAGUCCUCUCCAGGCACAAGUGGCGAAGGGCACUUCAUCACAGUAAUGUUUUAGGAUGGGGGAGGGAGGGUAAUGACUCCAUUAUACGCAGGUUGGAGAGUAAUGGCAGAGGGCUAGGGAAUAGAAAGCUGACUUAUUUCCUAAAUCUAUUGUGAUAUGUGUCACGGAUUAUAAAAUGUCCGUACAACCUAUCAUGGAUGGCCUGGGGGUGGGGUGGGUUAAAGGAAUAUUAUUUCAGGGUUUGGGUGAAUGGUGAGAGCAGAGGCUACACCAACCUGUAUCUGAUUUAAUCUUAAUACAAGCUCCCUCUCCCUCACUGAUGGGCGAUUCCCACAAUCCGGGUAAACAGAGCGCCAAUACAAAUUACCACUAAAGAUGCCAGCAUGGCUUUAUCUCCGCAGAGUGCCCGCAUAAUGGUGUUUGGCAUAGCUGAUGAAUUUAGUGAGCUAUCCAGGGACCGACGGCAUCUUCUCACAUCUCAUUCUGUGUGCUAAUUCCCUCAUUAGAUGCCACUCGCUGGGCACCAUGCCCGUCCUGCUAAUGCACUAUUAACUAUUCCUGUGCUGGAUGCAAUUCUUAUGAGCAGCAAAUCGAAACAGAGUGAAAAUACGCAGUUAACACAGUGAUUUCCCAUCCACAACCAUCUGGAUUAACUCUUUCUGUGCCACCCUUGCGCAUGUAGCAUGGACAGUAUUAAAGAGGAAUAUUACUCCCCCCUUGUCCCUCAGUAAAUGUUACAGACGGGUUUAGAGGUCAAUAAAAGGCACACGUACUUCCCUGCACUAUCAUGUUCAGGGUACCAGCACCCGCCUGUCCUUGCGAUAUCACUUAUCUAGUCAGAGACCAUAAGUACACAGUAUGCUCACUAACCGGCCACUGCGAGCACAGUACUGAAAUCCCGCUGGUAAUUUGAAAUGUUUGGAGCCAUGCCCCAUAGGGGCAGUGUACCCACUAUAGAAACGCAUGGGACUGAGCAGUCUCUGUCACAUGUGGCCACUGGCCAGCAAUGAGGAAGGGACAAGGAUCUGGCUGGGCUAUCUCUGUCACAUGUGGCCAGCAAUGAGGAAGGGACCAGGAUCUGGCUGGGCUGUCACAUGUGGCCAGCAAUGAGGAAGGGACCAGCAUAUGGGCUGUCUCUGCCAUCACUGGAUUCAAGUCGGUGCCUUGGGAUUUGUUGCUGGGAUUGGGGAAGCAUCAUAUCUUCUUUAACUCUAAUCCGUUGGUAUUUUGACACUUUCCACCCAGACAAUGAUUAAAUCAGUGGUAAAACCUACACUGCAGGACAUUGCUCAGUUACUGAAUAAUGAAACCUUGUUACAUCACGCAGGUACACAUUCACCUGCGUGCCACUGUAAUAUAUGACACUUCAGGAACCAUAACCACUACGUGUACAGCUUAUUGAAGAGGUUCUGGUGGACCCACCAGCUUUUGCCAAACCAUUAUUUUUUUGGAGUGUUUAGACAAUAACUAAAGGAUUCCUCAAUGCCCACUCCCUCUGCUUGGGACAUUUCACUUCCCCAGUAUCUGUCCAUUGUUUGUUAACCCUUUCAGUACUGUACACCCUCCUCUCUGUCAAUACAACCUCUCCAGAAAGGUGCAGCCAAAUCCUGUUAUACCCCAGAGCCAUAUUUUACUCGGAAAAUUAAACCAACCCAUGAUGACUUUCCUACCAGAACCAGUGGGCUUUGAGUGCUAGGGGAAAUUUUUAUUUUUUUUAUUUUCAAACCAUUUGAAAUGGUCACACAAAACUAGUGAGAUAGCACCCAUGGCAUUUAUUUAGCAUAACCCUCACAAUAAGCGCUAACGUCACAGUUAGCACCAUAACAACUUUGCAUCAUUGUAAAUAUCUCUGCAGAUACAAGUCUGUCACCAGGGACAGUGAUGGCCAAGGAGGAAUUAGAUUUAUAGUUCUUUCAGGGAUCGCAUACAGAGUGGACGGACACCGGUCUCCUCGUCCCUCCGUGAACGCAAGCUGCGUACCAGACGGUGUAAAUAACAAUAUGGCCGCUGUUAAAUUACUGAGGGAUAAACUACUUAUGUCAAAACUAUUGCUAUACAGAAAUUUACAGGCGAAUAACAAAAAUACAGUGAAUUCCCAUGAUUGGUUCUCUGCUCUGGGAGGGCACCUCAGUGUUAAGUUUUAGGUCAGCCUGGAUUGAUCCUAUACAUCCAUACCGUUAUACCAGUACUGUAAUUAUUUAUACCAUCACACUGCUAAUCUGAUGUCAGCAACGUAAACUACGUCAUCACUUUAUUGACUCAAGACUUCAUCUUCUACGUACAUAGACGUGACACUCGAUUAAAAUGCAUUGGGGGGGGAGGGGGGAGGUUUUAUGUCAAUUUCUGCAUAUUCUUCUGUUAACUAUACAGUAAGAUUUAAUGUAAACAAUCUAUAACAAUGCAGUAAACUGUAGUGGUUAUGGUGUGCCUGAGAUUGAAUGAGAAGCUCCUGGGAGCGUGGGGCGCUGGGACCUGUGGGAUAAUACAAUCUCUAACACAAUGGGACUGUGUACGUUAACUCUUUGAGGAAAAGGUUUUGCACAAAUCCUACAGCAGAGUUUCCUAAAUCAGCCGUCCAGAGACACCAACAGUCCAGGUCAGUAUCUCCAUUGGAAUAAAGCAGGACCCUUGGGGGGCCAUGGGGACUUAUUUGGAAACCUCUGUCCUACACUGUAACAGCCUGGCACUUUAACUCAUGCAAUGGUUAAAUGGUAUUUCUCACACAGCACCAGAUUGAGAAGUUCUAAAUGAAUGCGGUGAAUGAGGAGAGUGUUAGAGAAAGAUAUUUGCUUUUAAACUGUAAUCAAUCAAUAUUGCAGAGGAUAAACAAUAGAUAAUGUCCUGGCCACACUAUCCAUGAUAAGGAGUAAUAGGAACAAACAGAGGGAGCCAGAGGUUGGAAGGUUAAAGUUGAUGCAUUAACCCAUUAAAGCUGGUGGAUUAGCAGCUUGAGCAGUCUUCAAAAGCGCACACUUCCUGCAAGGCGUCGUAUAGCCACCUGUCAGCAACGCAUUGUGCCAAUCUCAUCACUCCCAGAGAUCUGGUCUUUCACAAAAGAACCGUGAAUAUAAAACUCGCUCAGAUUACCCGCACCAAGGCAGCAUAGGCAGAGUGGAAUAACUGAAUGGCAAAAUUCAGGAUAAAAUAUUCGGAGAGCCCAGCUAUUCAGGAAGACAUUCUGCAAUUUGUUUGACAAUAUUAUCCAGUUAAGUGAACAAGCCCCAUUAAAGGGAGAAUAGCGAUCUUUGCAGACUAUGUCUGAAUAUGCGCUCAGGAACAUUUAAUACACAUAUUUAUGACAAUUCACUGCUGUUGUAACACCCCUCUCAUCACUUUCAGUCAGCUUUUGGUGGGAGUUAUAGUGCGGGCUACAUUGCAUUCAUUAGAAUAAACCGUGUUUCUAUUCAAAUAGUAAUUUGACAGCUGCUAUCCCAUGCUGAACGCUUCCAGAAUUAAUAAAAAGCAGUAAACCUAGACCAUCACAGAGUACUAAUCGAUCAUUCCAGAAAUAUUUACUAUUAACAUCAAUGAUCUGCAGCAGAUGCGAUAUUCUGCAAAUAGCCCUGCUUUACCACACUAUCGAUAACGGACCAAAUUCCUAGCUGUAGCUACGAAACAGCGACCCAAGGAACGCGCUUCAUGGUGAGUAGCA